CCUACGGGAGGCAGCAGUGAGGAAUAUUGGUCAAUGGGCGCGAGCCUGAACCAGCCAAGUAGCGUGAGGGAUGACUGCCCUACGGGUUGUAAACUUCUUUUAUAAGGGAAUAAAGUGAGGCACGUGUGCCGCUUUGUAUGUACUUUAUGAAUAAGGAUCGGCUAACUCCGUGCCAGCAGCCGCGGUAAUACGGAGGAUCCGAGCGUUAUCCGGAUUUAUUGGGUUUAAAGGGAGCGUAGAUGGGUUGUUAAGUCAGUUGUGAAAGUUUGCGGCUCAACCGUAAAAUUGCAGUUGAUACUGGGAGUCUUGAGUAUGUUUGAGGCAGGCGGAAUGCGUGGUGUAGCGGUGAAAUGCUUAGAUAUCACGCAGAACCCCGAUUGCGAAGGCAGCUUACCAAGC
Molecule: ribosomal RNA, 399 nt
Filed under: uncultured bacterium
Lineage: Bacteria
Description: partial 16S ribosomal RNA
Rfam family: Bacterial small subunit ribosomal RNA
Source: RNAcentral